This 262-nucleotide unclassified non-coding RNA is filed under the name plant metagenome. RNAcentral describes it as "partial contains small subunit ribosomal RNA, internal transcribed spacer 1, and 5.8S ribosomal RNA". The record is from RNAcentral.
UCUCCGUUGGUGAACCAGCGGAGGGAUCAUUACCGAGUUUACAACUCCCAAACCCCUAUGUGAACGUUACCAAACUGUUGCCUCGGCGGGAAAUUCAUGCCCCGGGCGCGUCGCAGCCCCGGACCAAGGUGCCCGCCGGAGGACCAGCCAAAACUCUUUUGUAUGUCCCUCGCGGACUUUUAUAAUUCUGAACCAUCUCGGCGCCCCUAGCGGGCGUUUCGAAAAUGAAUCAAAACUUUCAACAACGGAUCUCUUGGUUCUG